UUAAUUGAAGCCAAAAAGAGGCGUUUCAUUGUUAAUGAAAAUAGUGGAUAUAAAUCCCGAUUAAA
Molecule: transfer RNA, 65 nt
Filed under: Tetraphleps aterrimus
Lineage: Eukaryota; Metazoa; Arthropoda; Insecta; Hemiptera; Anthocoridae
Description: tRNA-Asn
Source: RNAcentral